CGAACGCUGGCGGCAGGCCUAACACGUGCAAGUCGAGCGAGGACUUCGGUCCUAGCGGCGGACGGGUGAGUAACGCGUGGGAAUAUGCCCAAAGGUACGGAAUAGCCUCGGGAAACUGGGAGUAAUACCGUAUGUGCCCUUCGGGGGAAAGAUUUAUCGCCUUUUGGAUUAGCCCGCGUUGGAUUAGGUAGUUGGUGGGGGUAAUGGCCUACCCAAGCCGACGAUCCAUAGCUGGUUUGAGAGGAUGAUCAGCCACACUGGGACUGAGACACGGCCCAGACUCCUACGGGAGGCAGCAGUGGGGAAUCUUAGACAAUGGGGGAAACCCUGAUCUAGCCAUGCCGCGUGAGCGAUGAAGGCCUUAGGGUUGUAAAGCUCUUUCAGCUGGGAAGAUAAUGACGGUACCAGCAGAAGAAGCCCCGGUUAACUCCGUG
RNAcentral lists this ribosomal RNA (434 nucleotides) under uncultured bacterium. RNAcentral describes it as "bacterial SSU rRNA". It matches the Rfam family "Bacterial small subunit ribosomal RNA", at positions 30 to 507 of the family's 1533-position model. The record is from RNAcentral.